RNAcentral lists this ribosomal RNA (419 nucleotides) under bacterium. Its description in RNAcentral is "partial 16S ribosomal RNA". It matches the Rfam family "Bacterial small subunit ribosomal RNA", at positions 355 to 776 of the family's 1533-position model. The record is from RNAcentral.
UGGGGGAUAUUGCACAAUGGGCGAAAGCCUGAUGCAGCGACGCCGCGUGGGGGAUGAAGGCCUUCGGGUUGUAAACUUCUUUUGCUCUGAACAAGGCGCACCAUGGGGUGUGUUGAGUGUAGGGGUUGAUUAGCGCCGGCUAACUACGUGCCAGCAGCCGCGGUAAUACGUAGGGCGCGAGCGUUGUCCGGAAUUAUUGGGCGUAAAGGGCUUGUAGGUGGCUGGUUGCGUCUGUCGUGAAAGCUCAUGGCUUAACUGUGGGUUUGCGGUGGGUACGGGCUGGCUUGAGUGCAGUAGGGGGGGCUGGAAUUCCUGGUGUAGCGGUGGAAUGCGCAGAUAUCAGGAGGAAUACCGGUGGCGAAGGCGGGUCUCUGGGCUGUUACUGACACUGAGGAGCGAAAGCAUGGGGAGCGAACAGG